RNAcentral lists this non-coding RNA (24 nucleotides) under Arabidopsis thaliana (thale cress). Lineage: Eukaryota; Viridiplantae; Streptophyta; Magnoliopsida; Brassicales; Brassicaceae. The record is from RNAcentral.
CUGUGGUUGACCAACAAAUCUGUG